GAGGGUAUAGCUCAAGUGGUAGAGCACAUGAUUAGCAUGCAUGAGGUCCUGGGUUCAGUUCCCAGUGCCUCCA
RNAcentral lists this transfer RNA (73 nucleotides) under Camelus bactrianus (Bactrian camel). It matches the Rfam family "tRNA". Rfam says of the family: Transfer RNA (tRNA) molecules are approximately 80 nucleotides in length. Their secondary structure includes four short double-helical elements and three loops (D, anti-codon, and T loops). The record is from Rfam by way of RNAcentral. Lineage: Eukaryota; Metazoa; Chordata; Mammalia; Artiodactyla; Camelidae. RNAcentral also lists the same sequence under 2 other names.